UAGGGAAUCUUCGGCAAUGGGGGGAACCCUGACCGAGCAACGCCGCGUGAGUGAAGAAGGUUUUCGGAUCGUAAAGCUCUGUUGUUAAGGAAGAACGAGUGUGAGAAUGGAAAGUUCAUACUGUGACGGUACUUAACCAGAAAGGGACGGCUAACUACGUGCCAGCAGCCGCGGUAAUACGUAGGUCCCGAGCGUUGUCCGGAUUUAUUGGGCGUAAAGCGAGCGCAGGCGGUUAGAUAAGUCUGAAGUUAAAGGCAGUGGCUCAACCAUUGUAGGCUUUGGAAACUGUUUAACUUGAGUGCAGAAGGGGAGAGUGGAAUUCCAUGUGUAGCGAUGAAGUGCGUAGAUAUAUGGAGGAACGCCGGUAGCGAAAGCGGCUCUCUGGUCUGUAACUGACGCUGAGGCUCGAAAGCGUGGGGAGCGAACAGG
This 429-nucleotide ribosomal RNA is filed under the name Bacteroidota bacterium. Its description in RNAcentral is "Bacteroidetes bacterium partial 16S ribosomal RNA". It matches the Rfam family "Bacterial small subunit ribosomal RNA", at positions 355 to 776 of the family's 1533-position model. The record is from RNAcentral. Lineage: Bacteria; Pseudomonadati; Bacteroidota.